This is a long non-coding RNA of Cydia amplana, 205 nucleotides long. RefSeq lists it as uncharacterized. The record is from RefSeq and is a predicted model, not a curated record. The transcript has 3 exons. NCBI's taxonomy places the organism in Eukaryota, Metazoa, Arthropoda, Insecta, Lepidoptera, Tortricidae.
AUUUAUGACGUAUUAAAAAAAAACUACUUACUAGAUCUUAAGUUACAUUUUACCACUUUGGAAGUGUCUCUCGCGCAAACUAUUCAGUUUAGAAAAAAAUGAUAUUAGAAACCUAAAUAUCAUUUUUGAAGACCUAUCCAUAGAUACCCCAUACGUAUGGGUUUGAUGAAAAAAAAAUUUUUGAGUUUCAGCGAUUUAUGACAUA